Hordeum vulgare subsp. vulgare (domesticated barley) is the source of this 717-nucleotide long non-coding RNA. RefSeq lists it as uncharacterized. The record is from RefSeq and is a predicted model, not a curated record. NCBI's taxonomy places the organism in Eukaryota, Viridiplantae, Streptophyta, Magnoliopsida, Poales, Poaceae. The transcript is spliced from 4 exons.
CCUCUAGUGGGGACAUCUCGUCGCCCCGCGUGACCAACGAUCUCACCGUCUUCCCCUCCUACCACGAGGCAAGAACCCCUCCAAACCCUAGCCUCCUACCGCCUGGUUCCUUCUCCAAAUCUACGGCCCACCCCUCGACCGAUCAGGGCAAGAGCUGACAGAAAUAGGAAAAGAAAGUGAGGUCCCUGUGUACGAUGAUGGCCUCCCAAUGUUGUGGAAAAUAAUAUCUCACGUGAUCUCUCAUGGAACCAAAAAAGAAUAAUUGAAUAGGGCAAUAUAAGGGCCACUAGGGAAUCAAAGAAUGACAUAAGUGAAGCUAUAAAUGAAGGACGUAACUGAUAGGAGUUUUGUUCAUGUCAGUAAUUGAGUGGGACAAAUGAAAGAAAGUAGCGACUCCAACUUGAUCUAAGAUGUUCCGGUGAUCGGUUUUGUCCAUAACAUGGUUGACACAUUCUUUUCAUAUGGAAGUUGAUGUCAGCUUGGGGAUCAAAGACUUGGUCUCUUCCAUAAAUUCUUUUGCUGUAGUGGUCGAACAUUUGGUAUCAUAGGAACUUGACCAUCAUAUUUUGUAAGAGGCCACAACCUGAGUGUUGACUUCUGUAUUUUCUUAAUGGUUGUAGGUAACCUGAGUAUGUAUAGGUAUUGGGAAAAUAUUCUAUAUAUGUUGAUUGAAUGCAUUGAUCAAUAAUAUCUUGUGAUUGGGUACUUAACCUGAAA